This 432-nucleotide unclassified non-coding RNA is filed under the name uncultured Pezizomycetes. Its description in RNAcentral is "sequence contains ITS2". The stretch from base 1 to 154 matches the Rfam family "5.8S ribosomal RNA". The record is from RNAcentral. Lineage: Eukaryota; Fungi; Ascomycota; Pezizomycetes.
AACUUUUGACAACGGAUCUCUUGGUUCUCGCAUCGAUGAAGAACGCAGCGAAAUGCGAUAAGUAGUGUGAAUUGCAGAAUUCAGGGAAUCAUCGAAUCUUUGAACGCACAUUGCGCCUCCUGGUAUUCCGGGAGGCAUGCCUGUCCGAGCGUCAUUAAACAAAUUCAAGCUUCUGUAAUUUUUGCUUGGUCUUGAGGGAUGAGCGACACUGAAUUGAACUUUUUUGAAUUCUUGUUCUAUCUUGCUCACCCAUCGAAUUUCAGUGGCGGAUUUAAGCAUAGUUGGCCCGGUGUGAUAGGUUUUUCAUGUCACUGGGCGGCGCAUGUAGCAAACUCCUGUCAAUAGAAACUCUCCCCUUGACUAUUAUUAUACAACGACCUCGGAUCAGGUAGGGAUACCCGCUGAACUUAAGCAUAUCAAUAAGCGGAGGCU